RNAcentral lists this ribosomal RNA (327 nucleotides) under uncultured eukaryote. RNAcentral describes it as "partial 18S ribosomal RNA". It matches the Rfam family "Eukaryotic small subunit ribosomal RNA", at positions 1470 to 1796 of the family's 1831-position model. The record is from RNAcentral.
CCCUUAGAUGUUCUGGGCCGCACGCGCGUUACAAUGAAUCGUUCAACAGGUUUCUUCCUGAGUCGAAAGGCUUGGGUAAUCCUUUAAAUACGGUUCGUGCUAGGGAUAGAUUUUUGCAAUUAUUAAUCUUGAACGAGGAAUAUUUAGUAAACGCAGGUCAUCAGCCUGCAUUGAUUACGUCCCUGCCCUUUGUACACACCGCCCGUCGCACCAACCGAUUGGGUGUGCUGGUGAAAUGUUCGGAUCGGCCGUUUGUCGCGGUUUCCGCGUCAUGUGGCUGAGAAGUUCAUUAAACCCUCCCACCUAGAGGAAGGAGAAGUCGUAACA